RNAcentral lists this ribosomal RNA (883 nucleotides) under uncultured candidate division WS6 bacterium. RNAcentral's name for it is "bacterial SSU rRNA". It matches the Rfam family "Bacterial small subunit ribosomal RNA", at positions 50 to 897 of the family's 1533-position model. The record is from RNAcentral.
AAGGUAUGCNAGUCGAACGAUCCCUUUGAAUUACUUGAAACUUCGGUUGAUUGUAUUUCUUUUUGGGAUAGUGGCAAACGGGUGAGUAACACGUGGAUAACCUGCCUUAAAGUCAUGAACAGCUCAUCGAAAGAUGGGAUAAUACAUGAUGGUCUUACAAUUUCUAUCCGACUUUGUAAGUAAAGCUCCGGCGCUUUAAGAGGGGUCCGCGUCCUAUCAGCUUGUUGGUGAGGUAAUAGCUCACCAAGGCUAAGACGGGUAGCUGGCGUGAGAGCGCGGUCAGCCACCAUGGAACUGAGACACGGUCCAUACUCCUACGGGAGGCAGCAAUUAGGAAUCUUGCGCAAUGGGGGCAACCCUGACGCAGCGACACAGCGUGGAGGACGAAGGUCUUCGGAUUGUAAACUCCUUUUAUAUGGGAAGAAUAGAUGACGGUACCAUAUGAAUAAGCACCUGCUAACUACGUGCCAGAAGCAUCGGUGAUACGUAGGGUGCGAACGUUAUCCGGAUUUAUUGGGCGUAUAGAGAUGCGUAGGCGUUUCUGUAAGUCUGAAGUUAAAGCCCACGGCUUAACCGUGGAAAAGCUUUGGAAACUGCAGAAAUUGAGACAGGAAGAGGCGAAUGGAAUUCCCAGUGGAGCGGUGAAAUGCGUUGAUAUUGGGAGGAACAUCAGUGGCGAAGGCGAUUCGCUGGUCCUUGUCUGACGCUGAGGCUCGAAAGCGUGGGUAGCAAAACGGAUUAGAUACCCGUGUAGUCCACGCCGUAAACUAUGGAUGCUAGGUGUUCGGUACAACCGUUUUUUCCUUCGGGAAAAAAUGGAAGUAUUGAGUGCCGCAGCUAACGCGUUAAGCAUCCCGCCUGGGAAGUACGGCCGCAAGGNUAA